RNAcentral lists this ribosomal RNA (1509 nucleotides) under uncultured bacterium. Its description in RNAcentral is "bacterial SSU rRNA". It matches the Rfam family "Bacterial small subunit ribosomal RNA". The record is from RNAcentral.
GAUGAACGCUGGCGGUGUGCCUUAAGCAUGCAAGUCGAACGAACUCUUCGGAGUUAGUGGCAGACGGGUGAGUAACACGUAGAAAUCUACCCAGUAGUGGGGAAUAGCCCACCGAAAGGUGGGGUAAUACCGCAUACUCCCUUCGGGGCAAAGCAUUUAUGCGCUAUUGGAGGAGCCUGCGUCCUAUCAGGUAGUUGGUGGGGUAAUGGCCUACCAAGCCGAUGACGAGUAGCCGAUGUAAGAGCAUGAUCGGCCACAAGGUAACUGAGACACGGUGCCUACACCUACGGGUGGCAGCAACUGGGAAUCUUGCGCAAUGGACGAAAGUCUGACGCAGCGACACCGCGUGUGGGAAGACGGCCUUCGGGUUGUAAACCACUGUGGCGAGGGAACAAGAUCUGAGGGUACCUCGCUAGAAAGCACCUGCUAACCACGUGCCAGAAGCCUCGGUAAUACGUGGGGUGCAAGCGUUAUCCGGAUUUACUGGGCGUAAAGGGUCCGUCGGCGACCUGAUAAGUUGUUGGUUUAAGCCUGGGGCUCAACUCCAGAAAAGCCAACAAAACUGUCAGGAUUGAGUCUGUUCGGGGUAACUGGAAUUCUCGGUGGAGGGGUGAAAUCCGUAGAUAUCGAGAGGAACGCCAAGCGCGAAGGCAGGUUACUAGGACACGACUGACGCUCAGGGACGAAAGUUAGGGUAGCAAAAGGGAUUAUAGACCCCUGUAGUCCUAACCGUAAACACUCCUUGCUAGCUGCCUCUCACCUCAUUUUGGAGCCGUUAAUGAUUUCUGUACAGGCUUUACUUAAGUCGUACAAAAUUUUUAGCGAGUUCGAAAGCUGAGGUGAGGGGUGGCGUAAGCUAACGCGUUAAGCAAGGCGCCUGGGGAGUACGACCGCAAGGUUAAAACUCAAAGGAAUUGACGGGGGAGCGCACAACCGGUGGAGCAUGUGGUUUAAUUCGACACGAAGCGAAAAACCUUACCCGGGUUUGACAUGUACCUGCACGGCCUAUGAAAGUAGGCUUUCUUCGAGAGUGGUACACAGGUGAUGCAUGGCUGUCGUCAGCUCGUGUCGUGAGACGUCCUCUUAAGUGAGGUAACGAGCGCAACCCCUAUCGCCAGUUACAAGUGUCUGGCGAGACUGCCCUGCCUUAAGCAGGGAGGAAGGAGGGGACGACGUCAAGUCAGCAUGUCCCUUACACCCGGGGCUACACACGUCCUACAAUGGGACUGACAACGGGUAGCGACGCCGCGAGGCUGAGCCAAUCCUAAUAAACAGUUCCUCAGUUCGGAUUGAGGGCUGCAACCCGCCCUCAUGAAGCCGGAAUCGGUAGUAAUCGCAAAUCAGCAGGUUGCGGUGAAUACGUUCUCGCUCCUUGUACACACUGCCCGUCAAGCCAGCAAAAUCGGCAGUACCCGAAGCGGGUGACCGUAACUUCUUACGAAGAGCGGCCCCACUACGGUAAGGUCGGUGAUGAGGACUAAGUCGUAACAAGGUAUCCGUACUGGAAGG